Molecule: ribosomal RNA, 554 nt
Filed under: Drosophila sp. g AB-2019
Lineage: Eukaryota; Metazoa; Arthropoda; Insecta; Diptera; Drosophilidae
Description: partial 16S ribosomal RNA
Rfam family: Bacterial large subunit ribosomal RNA
Source: RNAcentral
UGUUUCACAAAAACAUGUCUUUUUGAAUUAUAUAAAAAGUCUAACCUGCCCACUGAUAAUUUUUAAAUGGCCGCAGUAUUUUGACUGUGCAAAGGUAGCAUAAUCAUUAGUCUUUUAAUUGAAGGCUGGAAUGAAUGGUUGGACGAAAUAUUAACUGUUUCAUUUAAAAUUUAAAUAGAAUUUUAUUUUUUAGUCAAAAAGCUAAAAUAAAUUUAAAAGACGAGAAGACCCUAUAAAUCUUUAUAUUUUAUUUAUUUUAAUUAUAAAGAUUAAUUUAAUUUUAAUAAAUUAAAAUAUUUUAUUGGGGUGAUAUUAAAAUUUAAAAAACUUUUAAUUUGUAAAAACAUUAAUUUAUGAAUAAUUGAUCCAUUAAUAAUGAUUAAAAAAUUAAGUUACUUUAGGGAUAACAGCGUAAUUUUUUUGGAGAGUUCAUAUCGAUAAAAAAGAUUGCGACCUCGAUGUUGGAUUAAGAUAUAAUUUUGGGUGUAGCCGUUCAAAUUUUAAGUCUGUUCGACUUUUAAAUUCUUACGUGAUCUGAGUUCCAAACCGGGGGG